UGUACUACCGAUAACCGUUUGAGAGAAGGGAUGACACAGUAGGAUAAGCUAAGCACACUGUUGGUUAUGUGUGCCCAAGCAUUGAGGCAGUCAAAGUAGGUAAAUCCGCUUUGAUAAUGCUGGGAUGUGAUGGGGAGCGAAAUUUAGUAGCGAAGUAGCUGAUUUCACACUGUCAAGAAAAGUCUCUAUCGAGGUUAAAGG
Molecule: ribosomal RNA, 201 nt
Filed under: Clostridioides difficile
Lineage: Bacteria; Bacillati; Bacillota; Clostridia; Peptostreptococcales; Peptostreptococcaceae
Description: partial 23S ribosomal RNA
Rfam family: Bacterial large subunit ribosomal RNA
Source: RNAcentral